AUAGGGCUGUAUUUGUCUUCACUCUGCUCCACUUGCAUGUUGGUAAGCAAAUAUUACAAGAUACUGUAAAUCUCCAGCGCUUCCUCGUCUAAAAGAAAUGAAACCAUUCCUUUAGAUGAGGGAACGUUGGAGUCUUAGUGUUUUGCAAUAUUUGCUUACCAAUAUGCAAGUGGAACAGAGUGAAGACAAAUUUAGUGCUAU
This is a non-coding RNA of Podarcis lilfordi (Lilford's wall lizard), 201 nucleotides long. The record is from the annotation of a GenBank genome assembly. NCBI's taxonomy places the organism in Eukaryota, Metazoa, Chordata, Lepidosauria, Squamata, Lacertidae.